UACGAAGGGUGCAAGCGUUGUUCGGAUUUAUUGGGCGUAAAGCGCGCGCAGGCGGAUGAUUAAGUCAGAUGUGAAAUCUCGGGGCUCAACCCCGAACGUGCGUCUGAAACUGAUUGUCUAGAAUGUCACAGGGGGUAGAGGAAUUUCACAUGUAGGGGUAAAAUCCGUAGAUAUGUGAAGGAACACCGGAGGCGAAGGCGUCUACCUGGUUGAAUAUUGACGCUGAGGCGCGAAAGCGUGGGGAGCAAACAGG
Molecule: ribosomal RNA, 253 nt
Filed under: uncultured bacterium
Lineage: Bacteria
Description: partial 16S ribosomal RNA
Rfam family: Bacterial small subunit ribosomal RNA
Source: RNAcentral